CACCUGCUCAUUUCAGAGAAAAGGAUAACCAACAACUUGGCAGUUAUUUUUGGUUACUUGUUUGUUUUCAUGUUUGUAAAACACCAAGCCCAGUGUUUUCAAACUCCAUGACAUGUACUUCUCUUCAACUCCAGUCCUGCUGUCCCAGACCAAACCAACACAGCCUGUCCUCUGGGGCCCUAGGAUCUCUUGUGUCUGACACUUGUCACCUUGAACCUAGCUUGGAUUUCACUGCUCAUGAGCCCAUAACUCAGGAAGGAAAGAAGACAUGGUGCUGCAUCUAACACAGUUUAUCCACACAGUUGUUCAGCAGCAGGUUCACAGAAGAGA
Molecule: long non-coding RNA, 330 nt
Organism: Octodon degus (degu)
Lineage: Eukaryota; Metazoa; Chordata; Mammalia; Rodentia; Octodontidae
Exons: 3
Source: RefSeq, a predicted model, not a curated record